RNAcentral lists this ribosomal RNA (500 nucleotides) under uncultured bacterium. RNAcentral describes it as "partial 16S ribosomal RNA". It matches the Rfam family "Bacterial small subunit ribosomal RNA", at positions 30 to 523 of the family's 1533-position model. The record is from RNAcentral.
AUUGAACGCUGGCGGCAUGCCUUACACAUGCAAGUCGAACGGCAGCACGGGGGCAACCCUGGUGGCGAGUGGUGAACGGGUGAGUAAUGCUUCGGCACGUGCCUAGUAGCGGGGGAUAACAUACCGAAAGAUGUGCUAAUACCGCAUACGAUCUACGGAGGAAAGAGGGGGAUCGCAAGACCUCUCACUAGUAGAGGGGCCGAAGCCUGAUUAGCUAGUUGGUGGGGUAAUAGCCCACCAAGGCGACGAUCAGUAGCUGGUUUGAGAGAACGACCAGCCACACUGGGACUGAGACACGGCCCAGACUCCUACGGGAGGCAGCAGUGGGGAAUUUUGGACAAUGGGGGAAACCCUGAUCCAGCCAUGCCGCGUGAGUGAAGAAGGCCUUCGGGUUGUAAAGCUCUUUUGUCCGGAAAGAAAUCGCUUAGGUUAAUACCUUGAGUGGAUGACGGUACCUGGAGAAUAAGCUCCGGCUAACUCCGUGCCAGCCGCCGCGGUAA